Non-coding RNA from Oryctolagus cuniculus (rabbit), 2011 nucleotides. The record is from RefSeq and is a predicted model, not a curated record. NCBI's taxonomy places the organism in Eukaryota, Metazoa, Chordata, Mammalia, Lagomorpha, Leporidae.
UUGAAAGUCAGAAUUACACAGAGGAGAAGCAGCGGAGGGUGGGGGGCGUCCAUUCGCUGGUUCACUCACCAGUUAGCCACAAUAGCUGGAGCUAUGCUGAUUCGAAGGCAGGAUCCAGGAGUUUCCUCCAGGUUUCCCACAUGGGUGCAGAGGCCCAAGGACUUGGGCCAUCUUCUACUGCUUUCCCAGGCCAUAGCAGAGAGCUGGAUCAGAAGUGGAGCAGCCAGGACUCGAACCAGCUCCCAUAUGGGAUGCUGGCACUGCAGGAGGCAGCUUCACCCUCUACACCACAGCUCCAGCCCGCAUAAUUGAUUUCUAAAUGUUUUCCUUUGUGGCUUGAAAAUAUACAUGAUGUCAAUUUAUUUUUUUUGUUUACUGAGUCUUGAUUUGUGGCCUCAUCUGGGGUCUAUCCUAGAAAAUGUUCCAUGUGCUGAUGAGUAGAAUGUGUACUCUAUAAUUGUUGGGGAAAUGUUGUUUAAAGUCUCCUAGGUCAAUUUGCUCUAUGAUAUGGUACAACUCUGAUGUUUCUUUGAUGCCUGUCAGUGGUUGAAGUCUCCUGGUAUUACUGUGGUGGAGUCUAUCUCUCCCUUUAGCCCUAAUAAUAUUUACUGUAUUUGUAUGGUCUUGUGUGCCUGUAUUUUCAUAUAUGUUAUAUUAUCUUGAUGAAUUGAUCCUUUUAUGAAUAUAUGAUAUCCUUGUCUCUUUUUGCAGCUCUUAAUUUAAAGUCUAUUUUAUCUGAUACCAAUAUGGUUCCUGCAGCUUGUUGCUGGUUUCCAUUUACAUGAUAUAUCUUUUUCCAACCCUUCAUUUUUGCUCUUUUUUUUUUAAAAAAAAAAAAGAGGUACAGAGAGGCAGAGGCAGAGAGAGAAGUCUUCCACCUGCUGAUUUACUCCCCAGUUGUCUGUAAUGGCCUGAGCUGAGCCAAUCUGAAGCCAGGAUCCAGGAGCUUCUUCUGGGUCUCCCACGCUGGUGCAGGGGCCCAAAGACUUGGGCCAUCUUCUACUGCUUUCCCAGGCCAUAGCAGAGAGCUGGAUUGGAUGUGGAGCUGCCGGGUCUUGAACUGGCACCCUUAUGGGAUACCGGCCUGCAGGUUGUCGCUUUACCCACUGUGCCAAAAUGCUGGCCCCUCCAAUCCUUACAUUUUUAGCUUAUAUGUAUAUUUAUCUGUGAAUUGAGUGUAGACAGCAUGAAGUUGGAUCAUGUACAUUUAUCCAUUCAGGAGGAUAAACAAUUUAUCCAUUCAGGAAGUAGACAUCUGUGUAAGUUAUGAUGGUACCAAUUCUUUCCUCCUAGGAUGUUGAAGCUUCCCAGAUGCAAGGAUACAGCUACACAGGAGUUGGAGCAUUCUGUACCCAAGAAUACACCUACACAGGUAGCCACUGGGCUUCAUCCUCACUGUUAUAGUCGGGAACGCUCUGUAAGACCCAAUCUUGAGAGACACAAACACAGACAGAAGCUGGAAUCAGGUUGGCUCUCCAGAAGAGAACCGGCAGGAAGGUCCCAGUGUCUCCUCCCUUCAGUUGUUCCUCAGCACCGGAGGCAUUCUAGAAUACGUACAGUGUCCACUGGAUCCUGAGUCCACCUGCAGUCAGAGAAAGGAAGUCACUGUGAGAGUACCUUCAACUGAUUCCUUUGUUGUGGGCAUCCUGUUCUUUGGCAAGACAUGGAUUUUUCCGGCCUUCUGUGUGGAAUGGACAGUCGAUGUUCUUGACCUCCAACUUCCUUUUCGUCUAAAACUCUUUAGACAAGAACCUGGAACAGUAUGACAAUACAGACAGCUGUUGACAUCCAGCUGGCAGGAGACCACAGAGAAGUGAAAUAUUUUGAAACAACAAACUUAACAGAAGCAUCAAAAGUAGAAACUGAAUAAUACGGAUGACCAACUAUCUUUAUAAAUCUGUAGACAGCCUGGAAUGGGGAAAUGACAGUCCAUGAAGAGAGUGAUUAAGCAGAAGGUAAGUGGCCGGUGGAGAAGCAGCAUUGUGGAGGUCAGUGUGGCCUACCUGCUGGA